Molecule: ribosomal RNA, 253 nt
Filed under: uncultured bacterium
Lineage: Bacteria
Description: partial 16S ribosomal RNA
Rfam family: Bacterial small subunit ribosomal RNA
Source: RNAcentral
UACGAAGGGGGCUAGCGUUGCUCGGAAUGACUGGGCGUAAAGGGCGCGUAGGCGGUUCGUACAGUCAGACGUGAAAUUCCCGGGCUCAACCUGGGGACUGCGUUUGAUACGUGCGGGCUUGAGUUCGGAAGAGGGUCGUGGAAUUUCCAGUGUAGAGGUGAAAUUCGUAGAUAUUGGGAAGAACACCGGUGGCGAAGGCGGCGACCUGGUCCGAUACUGACGCUGAGGCGCGAAGGCCAGGGGAGCAAACGGG